This is a long non-coding RNA of Cannabis sativa, 713 nucleotides long. RefSeq lists it as uncharacterized. NCBI's taxonomy places the organism in Eukaryota, Viridiplantae, Streptophyta, Magnoliopsida, Rosales, Cannabaceae. The transcript is spliced from 2 exons. The record is from RefSeq and is a predicted model, not a curated record.
UUCUUUUGAAUGAAUUUUUUAUUGUUUUUUAGUAUUUCUAAAUAAAACUUUGCUACCCCAACUCUCAUUGUCAAUACCUCUCUUGUAAUCAAUUAAUAAUUAAAAAAAUACUUGAUUAUGAUUAAAUUUAGGAUAAAAGACAAAAUAAACAAACAUGUAUUUUCAAUAAUCAUAUAAUUCCAAUGUAUUUUACAAAAAUACCAUAAAAUAAUACCAAAUUCCAAGUUUAUAUGCAAAUCAACUCAUUUUCAAGCUUAGCUUUUGGCCUCGCGCACGGCAAGGUCGAUCGGCGGUGGCCUCGCCGGCAAAAGAUGCUUCCGAUAUCUGAGAAAUGCAAGGCAUAGAGCAAAGGUUUCGAGCUCGAAGGCUAGAGCUUUUGUUUUGGAGAAAAGAAAAGGUUUCAUAGAGCUAUUGCAGCAUCUAACUGUUUGUUGCGAUUCAGGACUUUGAAUAUAGAUUUCAAGAGCUCGGUUCCCUGGGAAAUGAUUCAUGUUAUAGAAGAUGAUCAAUCUGACACGAUCGUUGUUGCAACUAAGAUUGUGUUUGUUUGUUGAAAACAAGUUCAUAUUAUAAGGAAUUUUGGUAAAGUUGGGGAUAUUGAAAAUGUUGUUGACACCAUUUAUAUAUUAUUGAUGUCUUUCUUUUGCAAUGUAAUGCAAUUAACAACUAGAGCAUUGGCCAUUACUUUGUUUCAACUUUUUGUACUUGUCUUC